GCUGAACUUAAGCAUAUCAAUAAGCGGAGGAAAAGAAACUAACAAGGAUUCCCCUAGUAACUGCGAGUGAAGAGGGAAAAGCUCAAAUUUAAAAUCUGGCAUCUUCGGNUGUCCGAGUUGUAAUCUGGAGAAGUGUUUUCAGUGCAGGACCGUGUACAAGUCUCUUGGAAUGGAGCAUCAUAGAGGGUGAGAAUCCCGUCUUUGACACGGACUACCUGUGCUUUGUGAUACACUCUCAAAGAGUCGAGUUGUUUGGGAAUGCAGCUCAAAAUGGGUGGUAAAUUCCAUCUAAAGCUAAAUAUUGGCGAGAGACCGAUAGCGAACAAGUACCGUGAGGGAAAGAUGAAAAGCACUUUGGAAAGAGAGUUAAACAGUACGUGAAAUUGUUGAAAGGGAAACGCUUGGMGUCAGUCGCGUUUGUUAGAACUCAGCUUGGCUUCUGCUNAGUGUACUUUCUNAUGAACGGGCCAACAUCGAUUUCARUCANCGGAUAAGGGUAAGAGGAAUGUGGCACCUUCGGGUGUGUUAUAGCUUCUNAUCUUAUACAUCUACUGGGAUGGAGGUCUCCAACACUUGUGCUUAGGAUGUUGGCAUAAUGGCUUUAAUCGACCCGUCUUGAAACACGGACCAAGGAGUCUAACAUGCCCGCGAGUGUUAGGGUGGUAAACCCUUGCGCGUAAUGAAAGUGAAAGUUGGGACCUCUGUCAUGGGGGGCACCGACGCCCGGUCCAGAACUUCUGUGACGGUACUGCGGUAGAGCGUGUAUGUUGGGACCCGAAAGAUGGUGAACUAUGCCUGAAUAGGGUGAAGCCAGAGGAAACUCUGGUGGAGGCUCGUAGCGAUUCUGACGUGCAAAUCGAUCGUCAAAUUUGGGUAUAGGGGCGAAAGACUAAUCGAACCAUCUAGUANCUGGUUCCUGCCGAAGUUUCCCUCA
RNAcentral lists this ribosomal RNA (934 nucleotides) under Hyphodontia alutaria. RNAcentral's name for it is "eukaryotic LSU rRNA". It matches the Rfam family "Eukaryotic large subunit ribosomal RNA", at positions 27 to 975 of the family's 3401-position model. Lineage: Eukaryota; Fungi; Basidiomycota; Agaricomycetes; Hymenochaetales; Schizoporaceae. The record is from RNAcentral.